Molecule: unclassified non-coding RNA, 299 nt
Organism: Ochotona princeps (American pika)
Lineage: Eukaryota; Metazoa; Chordata; Mammalia; Lagomorpha; Ochotonidae
Gene: 7SK
Rfam family: 7SK RNA
About the family: 7SK was discovered as an abundant small nuclear RNA in the mid-70s but a possible function has only recently been suggested. Two independent studies have found that 7SK RNA binds the CDK9/cyclin T complex (known as elongation factor P-TEFb).
Source: Ensembl
GGGUGUGACAGCAAUCUGGCUGCAACAUCUAUUACUUCUCCAUUGAGCACCAGGGUUGAUCUGGCUGAUGUGGCUGGCCAGGCGUGUGUCUCCUUCCUCCCUUGCCACACCCUGUGCGUCCCUGCUGAAGCUGCUUGGUCAGAGGGUGACUGACCCGGCUGGAGGAGGAUUGGUUGUGCUCCCCUGCUAGAACCUCCAAACAAGUUCUCAACUUAUAUCAGAAACUGUGCUCUGUUUGCUUGUAUGUUUAAAGGGUGUGGCUUAGUUUAACGUGUAGCCUAAGGUGGUUGACCGGUUUA